RNAcentral lists this ribosomal RNA (240 nucleotides) under Triticum aestivum (bread wheat). RNAcentral's name for it is "partial small subunit ribosomal RNA". Lineage: Eukaryota; Viridiplantae; Streptophyta; Magnoliopsida; Poales; Poaceae. The record is from RNAcentral.
AUGAGUCUCAUCUGUUGGAACUGUCGGGGCCUGGUGUCGGACUCGACAGUUGGCGAGCUUCGCUGGCUUGUGAAGCUUUACCGACCCUCCCUUCUCUUUCUGUCGGGGACAAAGAUGAGGGAUGUGAAAGUGAAGAAUUUUAUGUGGUCUUUGGGUUUCUCUGGAUGUUUUGCUGUCAGUUGUGAUGGCCGUAGUGGGGGCCUGGCUCUUUUCUGGACUUCUUCUGCGGAUGUGUCUAUU